GAUGAACGCUGGCGGCGUGCUUAACACAUGCAAGUCGAACGAAGCACUUUAUUUGAUUUCCUUCGGGACUGAUUAUUUUGUGACUGAGUGGCGGACGGGUGAGUAACGCGUGGGUAACCUGCCUUGUACAGGGGGAUAACAGUUGGAAACGGCUGCUAAUACCGCAUAAGCGCACGGCAUCGCAUGAUGCAGUGUGAAAAACUCCGGUGGUAUAAGAUGGACCCGCGUUGGAUUAGCUAGUUGGUGGGGUAACGGCCCACCAAGGCGACGAUCCGUAGCCGACCUGAGAGGGUGACCGGCCACAUUGGGACUGAGACACGGCCCAAACUCCUACGGGAGGCAGCAGUGGGGAAUAUUGCACAAUGGGCGAAAGCCUGAUGCAGCGACGCCGCGUGAGCGAAGAAGUAUUUCGGUAUGUAAAGCUCUAUCAGCAGGGAAGAUGAUGACGGUACCUGACUAAGAAGC
Molecule: ribosomal RNA, 465 nt
Filed under: uncultured bacterium
Lineage: Bacteria
Description: bacterial SSU rRNA
Rfam family: Bacterial small subunit ribosomal RNA
Source: RNAcentral